RNAcentral lists this unclassified non-coding RNA (249 nucleotides) under Penicillium decumbens. RNAcentral's name for it is "partial internal transcribed spacer region". The stretch from base 1 to 46 matches the Rfam family "Eukaryotic small subunit ribosomal RNA", at positions 1786 to 1831 of the family's 1831-position model. RNAcentral also lists the same sequence under 2 other names. The record is from RNAcentral. Lineage: Eukaryota; Fungi; Ascomycota; Eurotiomycetes; Eurotiales; Aspergillaceae.
AAGUCGUAACAAGGUUUCCGUAGGUGAACCUGCGGAAGGAUCAUUACCGAGUGAGGGCCCUCUGGGUCCAACCUCCCACCCGUGUUUAUCGUACCUUGUUGCUUCGGCGGGCCCGCCUCACGGCCGCCGGGGGGCUUCUGCCCUCGGGCCCGCGCCCGCCGAAGACACCAUUGAACGCUGUCUGAAGAUUGCAGUCUGAGCAAUUAGCUAAAUAAGUUAAAACUUUCAACAACGGAUCUCUUGGUUCCG